AGUCGCACGAGAAAGUGGAGCAAUCCAUGAGUACAGUGGCGUACGGGUGAGUAACACGUGGAUCAUCUACCUUUUAGUGGGGAAUACCCCCGGGAAACUGGGGAUAAUACCGCAUAAGCUCGUAAGAGGAAAGCAGCAAUGCGCUGAAAGAGGAGUCCGCGGCUGAUUAGCUAGUUGGUGAGGUAAUGGCUCACCAAGGCGAAGAUCGGUAGCCGGCCUGAGAGGGCACACGGCCACACUGGCACUGAAACACGGGCCAGACUCCUACGGGAGGCAGCAGUGGGGAAUCUUGCACAAUGGAGGAAACUCUGAUGCAGCGACGCCGCGUGAGCGAUGAAGCCCUUCGGGGUGUAAAGCUCUUUCGACGGGAACGAUAAUGACGGUACCCGAAGAAGAAGCUGCGGCUAACUACGUGCCAGCAGCCGCGGUAAUACGUAGGCAGCAAGCGUUGUUCGGAAUUACUGGGCGUAAAGAGUGUGUAGGCGGUGCUCUAAGUCUGUUGUGAAAUCUCCCGGCUUAACCGGGAGGGUGCGGCGGAAACUGGAGUGCUUGAGGGUGGGAGAGGUAAGCGGAAUUCCUGGUGUAGCGGUGAAAUGCGUAGAUAUCAGGAGGAACACCUGUGGUGUAGACAGCUUACUGGACCACUUCUGACGCUGAGACGCGAAAGCGUGGGUAGCAAACAGGAUUAGAUACCCUGGUAGUCCACGCCCUAAACGAUGCAUACUUGGUGUGAGCGAUUCAUUUCGUUCGUGCCGGAGCUAACGCGUUAAGUAUGCCGCCUGGGGAGUACGGUCGCAA
RNAcentral lists this ribosomal RNA (798 nucleotides) under uncultured Bacillota bacterium. RNAcentral describes it as "bacterial SSU rRNA". It matches the Rfam family "Bacterial small subunit ribosomal RNA", at positions 60 to 891 of the family's 1533-position model. Lineage: Bacteria; Bacillati; Bacillota. The record is from RNAcentral.